CAGCCGCAAACUAUGCGCGUUAGGUGUAUCGGUGACCACGAGUUACCGAGGUGCCGAAGGGAAACCGUGAAACGUGCCGCCUGGGAAGUACGGUCGCAAGGCUGAAACUUAAAGGAAUUGGCGGGGGAGCACCACAACAGGUGGAGCCUGCGGUUUAAUUGGACUCAACGCCGGGAAGCUCACCGGAUAGGACAGCAGAAUGAUUGCCGGGCUGAAGACCCUGCAUGACUAGCUGAGAGGAGGUGCAUGGCGUAGUCGUGU
Molecule: ribosomal RNA, 261 nt
Filed under: uncultured archaeon
Lineage: Archaea
Description: partial 16S ribosomal RNA
Rfam family: Archaeal small subunit ribosomal RNA
Source: RNAcentral